GAUGAACGCUAGCUACAGGCUUAACACAUGCAAGUCGAGGGGCAGCAUGAACUUAGCUUGCUAAGUUCGAUGGCGACCGGCGCACGGGUGAGUAACACGUAUCCAACCUGCCUUCAACUCAGGGAUAGCCUUUCGAAAGAAAGAUUAAUACUUGAUGGCAUAACCUGGUCUCCUGACUUGGUUAUUAAAGAAUUUCGGUUGAAGAUGGGGAUGCGUUCCAUUAGGCAGUUGGCGGGGUAACGGCCCACCAAGGCAUCGAUGGAUAGGGGUUCUGAGAGGAAGGUCCCCCACAUUGGAACUGAGACACGGUCCAA
This 314-nucleotide ribosomal RNA is filed under the name uncultured bacterium. Its description in RNAcentral is "bacterial SSU rRNA". It matches the Rfam family "Bacterial small subunit ribosomal RNA", at positions 28 to 334 of the family's 1533-position model. The record is from RNAcentral.